GGGGGCGAUAGGAUUCGACGGGAAUAGGUUGAGCUUGGAUUGCAAGUCAAGUGCCAGAACUUGUAAAAAAAUGGAAUAAACAUAAAUGCUAAUAAAUCAGAGUUAGCUCGUUUAGCAGCCUAAUAAACUAAGCUGCUACGUCUACAAGAAGUUGCCUGCACUUUUUGAUAGGCGCCGAUUGCAGGAUACCUUAUAACAGUUAGCCUGGGGCUGUUUGAAGGGAAAAUUUUACAGGAUAGUUUUUUGGGAUAGCGUCCAUAUGAUUCCAAGAAGCGAAAAUUAGAUGUGGACUAAGCUUGUAGAUAUCUGAGUGCCAAUAUUUUCGGACGCGGGUUCGAUUCCCGCCGCCUCCACCA
This 356-nucleotide transfer-messenger RNA is filed under the name Actinomycetota bacterium. RNAcentral's name for it is "Actinobacteria bacterium transfer-messenger RNA". It matches the Rfam family "transfer-messenger RNA". From Rfam's summary of the family: Bacterial tmRNA, also known as 10Sa RNA or SsrA, is named for its dual tRNA and mRNA-like properties. Its role is to liberate the mRNA from a stalled ribosome. The record is from RNAcentral. Lineage: Bacteria; Bacillati; Actinomycetota.